UGAAAUCAUAAUCUUUCAGUCAGUUUAAUUGAAGUCUGGAGCUGGCAUGUCAGUUAACUGCUAGUAGUCUGUUGUUAUUUAUGUAUUAUUGUCAUUUUGUUUAUUUUCUUUGGUUACAUCUUCUGACAUCAGACUCGGACUUCUCUUGAACUGAAUUUUAAUGUGCGUAUUGUUAUGCGUUUAUUUUUCUACAUUGGCUAGAGGUAUAGGGGGAGGGUUGAGAUCUCACAAACAUGUUUAACCCCGCCGCAUUUUUGCGCCUGUCCCAAGUCAGGAGCCUCUGGCCUUUGUUAGUCUUGUAUUAUUUUAAUUUUAGUUUCUUGUGUACAAUUUGGAAAUUAGUAUGGCGUUCAUUAUCACUGAACUAGUAUAUAUUUUUUUAGGGGCCAGCUGAAGGACGCCUCCGGUUGCGGGAAUUUCUCGCUACAUUGAAGACCUGUUGAUGACCUUCUGCUGUUGUUUUUUCUAUGGUCGGGUUGUUGUCUCUUUGGCAUAUUCCCCAUUUCCAUUCUCAAUUUUAU
RNAcentral lists this long non-coding RNA (521 nucleotides) under Mytilus galloprovincialis (Mediterranean mussel). Lineage: Eukaryota; Metazoa; Mollusca; Bivalvia; Mytilida; Mytilidae. The record is from RNAcentral.